UAACGAGGAACGAUCGGAGGGCAAGUCUGGUGCCAGCAGCCGCGGUAAUUCCAGCUCCAAUAGCGUACGUUAAAGUUGCUGCAGUUAAAAAGCUCGUAGUUGAACGUUCGGGGUUUCCCGCGGGGACGGGGCCGCCCCGCGAGGGACGGCGCCGCCCCGGGGGCUCGUGAUAUCUCAUCUCGCCGCCCGUCGCGAGGCGGACGGAGGGAUGGAUGAGGUUACCUGGAAAAAAUCGGGGCGAUCUAGGCGGGCGAACCUCGCCAACGAACGAUCGGACAUGGGAUAACGGAAGAGGGCGUCGGCUCGGACUUCGUCGGUUCCUCGGGCCGAGGCACGUACGGUGAAUAGGGGACGGUCGGGGCCGCCCGUACCGGGUCGUGAGAGGUGAAAUUCUAGGAUCGACCCGAGACGAACCGCCGCGAAAGCAUUCGGCAAGGACGCUUUCA
This 446-nucleotide ribosomal RNA is filed under the name uncultured eukaryote. RNAcentral describes it as "bacterial SSU rRNA". It matches the Rfam family "Eukaryotic small subunit ribosomal RNA", at positions 535 to 972 of the family's 1831-position model. The record is from RNAcentral.